RNAcentral lists this ribosomal RNA (637 nucleotides) under Streptococcus sobrinus. RNAcentral's name for it is "bacterial SSU rRNA". It matches the Rfam family "Bacterial small subunit ribosomal RNA", at positions 368 to 996 of the family's 1533-position model. Lineage: Bacteria; Bacillati; Bacillota; Bacilli; Lactobacillales; Streptococcaceae. The record is from RNAcentral.
GCAAUGGACGCAAGUCUGACCGAGCAACGCCGCGUGAGUGAAGACGGUUUUCGGAUCGUAAAGCUCUGUUGUAGGGGAAGAACGUGUGUAAGAGUGGAAAGCUUACACAGUGACGGUACCCUACCAGAAAGGGACGGCUAACUACGUGCCAGCAGCCGCGGUAAUACGUAGGUCCCGAGCGUUGUCCGGAUUUAUUGGGCGUAAAGGGAGCGCAGGCGGUUUAGUAAGUCUGAAGUUAAAGGCAUUGGCUCAACCAAUGUAUGCUUUGGAAACUGUUAGACUUGAGUGCAGAAGGGGAGAGUGGAAUUCCAUGUGUAGCGGUGAAAUGCGUAGAUAUAUGGAGGAACACCGGUGGCGAAAGCGGCUCUCUGGUCUGUCACUGACGCUGAGGCUCGAAAGCGUGGGUAGCGAACAGGAUUAGAUACCCUGGUAGUCCACGCCGUAAACGCUGAGUGCUAGGUGUUAGGUCCUUUCCGGGACUUAGUGCCGACGCUAACGCAUUAAGCACUCCGCCUGGGGAGUACGACCGCAAGGUUGAAACUCAAAGGAAUUGACGGGGGCCCGCACAAGCGGUGGAGCAUGUGGUUUAAUUCGAAGCAACGCGAAGAACCUUACCAGGUCUUGACAUUCCGAUGCC